This 948-nucleotide ribosomal RNA is filed under the name Parcubacteria group bacterium CG_4_10_14_0_2_um_filter_41_6. RNAcentral describes it as "bacterial SSU rRNA". It matches the Rfam family "Bacterial small subunit ribosomal RNA", at positions 1 to 977 of the family's 1533-position model. The record is from RNAcentral.
UUUAAGAGUUUGAUCCUGGCUCAGGAUGAACGCUGGCGGCGCGUCUUAGGCAUGCAAGUCGAAUGGGUUUAGACCCAUGGCAAACGGGUGCGUAACACAUUGGUAACCUACCCCCAAGCGGGACAUAAUCAACCGAAAGGUUGGAUAAUUUCCCAUAGUUUCCAUUUAUAAUUUACAUGGAAUAAAGAUUUAUCACUUGGGGAGGGGCCUAUGGUCUAUCAGCUUGUUGGUGAGGUAAUGGCUCACCAAGGCAAUGACAGAUAGCGGGUAUUAACGUACGACCCGCCUCACCGGGACUGAAACACUGCCCGGACUCCUACGGGAGGCUGCAGUCAAGAAUCUUCCGCAAUGGCCGAAAGGCUGACGGAGCGACGCCGCGUGAAGGAUGAAGGCCCUCGGGUCGUAAACUUCUUUUCUCAGGGAAAAAUUUCUGAUUGUACUUGAGGAAUAAGGGACUGCUAACUUCGUGCCAGCAGCAGCGGUAAUACGAAGGUCCCAAGCGUUAUCCGGUGUUACUAGGCGUAAAGCGUCCGCAGGUGGUUUAGCGCAUCUUUGGUCAAAUCCCACGGCCCAACCGUGGAACUGCCAAAGAGAUGGCUAAACUUGAGACAGGGAGAGGCAUGUGGAAUGGCUGGUGUAGGAGUAAAAUCCGUUAAUCUCAGCCAGAACACCAAAUGCGAAGGCAGCAUGCUGGAACUGUUCUGACACUCAUGGACGAAAGCGUGGGUAGCGAAUGGGAUUAGAUACCCCAGUAGUCCACGCCGUAAACGAUGGGUACUAGUCAUUGGGAGCUCGACCCUCUCAGUGGCGCUUUAAAACAAGCAAACGCGUUAAGUACCCCGCCUGGGGAGUACGGCCGCAAGGCUAAAACUCAAAGGAAUUGACGGGAAUCCGCACAAGCGGUGGAGCGUGUGGUUUAAUUCGACAGUAAGCGAGGAACCUCACCAA